Molecule: long non-coding RNA, 2972 nt
Organism: Epinephelus moara (kelp grouper)
Lineage: Eukaryota; Metazoa; Chordata; Actinopteri; Perciformes; Serranidae
Exons: 2
Source: RefSeq, a predicted model, not a curated record
UCUACAAUGUGCAUUUUGUCCACUAUUAAUUCUCGCAAGAAACACAAUGAAAUGAUAAUCCUAGGUGACUUCAACAUUAAUUGGCUUGACCGUUCCUCUUCCAAUCAUCGAAACUUAUUUAGCAGUAUAAAUCUAACUCAGUUAAUUAACGAACCAACCAGAGUUGAUAUUCGUUCUUCCUCUCUGUUAGACUGGAUACUUGUUACAAAUCUGGAAAGAAUAAUCAAAUCUGGUGUUAUGGCUGACUGUUUAAAUGACCAUUCUAUUAUAUUUUGUGUUUGGAAAAUUAAAAUCCCUAGCUCUCCACCUAAAUACAUUAGAUUUAGACAAUGCAAGAAUAUUAAUGUUGACAAUUUUAUCCAAGAUAUCAUAUCUGUUUGUUAUAAAAUCAUGGAUUGAUGAUUGAUGUAUGUAUGUAUGUAUGUAUGUAUGUAUGUAUGCAUCCAUGCAUACAUACAUACAUCAAUACAUACAUCAAUAUAUACAUACAUCAGUACAUCAAUGCAUACAUACAUACAUCAAUCAGAAAUAUUCGGGAUGCCAUAAACAAACACUGAAGUUUACAAAUUAGGACUGCAGUCUGGAAACAUGGACGCGUAUAAAGCGGCAGCUUAAAAUGCAAGAAGAGCAGUAACAGAGGCAAACAGGGACUACAGGAAGCAAGUGGAACAACAAUUCAAGGAGGGUACACACACAACUGACAGAUUCAGAUUCAGACAACUUUAUUUAUCCCACCAGGGGCAAUUUGUUUGAACAGCUUGCCUUGCACUCAGACUAAAACAUACAGUUACAUGUAGGCACAUAAAUAAAAAUCAAAGAUAAAAAAAAUAUGCUAAGGAGUUCAGUGGAAUAAAAGAAUCUAUAAACAACAGCAACAAUAAUAAUUGUUAUUUAUUAUUAUUAUUAUUAUUAUUAUUAUAAGUUAAUAGACUGAUUAUCAAUAAAAUUAAAAAGCAAUAAAAAUAUUUACAGAGAUUUUAAAAGACUAAUAGAGGGAAUAAAAGAUUUUGAAUAAUGACGUCCUGACGGCAACAGAGGAUUCUUCUCCAUCAGAAGCUUAAAUACUUGUGGCUUUCUGGAGGAUUUAUUUGCAAAAACCAGUCAAGUCCCGUUGUGUCACUUCUGUGAUCUUAGAGCAGAUUUUAACAAUGCUAUUGAGACUGCUUCUGUCUUUCUAUGUGAGGCUGAGAAACCAGCAGAUAAAUGAAAACCACAGGAGGCUCUCACUAAAAGACUGAUAGAAACGGCAGAGGAUGAUGGGACUGACAGAAGAGGAAUUUAGUUUACAGAGAAGGUGAAUUCUGUUGUCCUUGCUUCACAAUAUCUGCAGUAUUUACAUCAAAUGUAGCCACUUCUGACUCCAUCACCGUCAUUUAGUUUGCUGUCCACACAGCUGUGGUGAGAUUGAUCACAGAAAACAAUAAAAACACCUACCUGAAGACCUGACCAGCUGGUGUUAGGAUAACAACCUACUCUGAAUGUCAGCACAGCACAACAACAGCAAAAGGACUACGCUCCCCUUAGUAUCAACAGGUCCACGGUGGAGAGGAUGGAUAACUUUAAAUACCUUGGUGUCAACAUCAGCGAGAGCCUGACCUGGGUGUUGCAUAAUGACUCAGUGGUGAGAAAAGCAAGGCAGUGAUUGUUUCACCGGAGAUGCCAGAGGAAAUUCCGGGUAUCCCCUCAAAUACGGAGGAAUUUUUACUCCACUACCAUCAAGGGCAUGCUGACGAGGAACAUCACUGCCUGGUACGGGAACAGCACCAAACAGGACCACAAGGCCCUGCAAAGAGUGGUUAAUUCAGCUGAAUGCACUAUAGGUGCUCAUCUACCCUGCAUAAAGCAUGUUUAUACCAGAUGCUGCCCGGAUAACUGCCUAUUCACCCUACUGAGGUUAGGAAGAAGGUACCAGAUACACCAGGCAGCACUGAGAGGUUUAGGAGGACUACAUAAAAUGACAGAAACAGUUUUUGGGAAAAAUUUAUUUGAUGUGUACUUUGAGUUUUUAUUUUGGCCCACGUCCCAUCUGCUCACCUGGGGCGGGGUUUAUGACCUACGCUGCAGCUGGACACCAAGGGGUGAUUAAAAUGUAUUUUGCUUCACUUUUGGGGAGCUGUCAAGUUAUCUAUUCUCAUUAUUAAAACUAUGGUGCAUUCAAAUCGAUGUGGCUUAGAGGUAGAGCAGGUCUUCCACCAAUCAGAAGAUCGGCGGUUCGGUCCCCAGCUCCUCCAGUGUGCAUGUCUGCAUACUGAUUGCUCCUGAGAUGGCUGUUCCAUCGGUGUGUGAGUGUGUUAAUAAACUGAGCUUGGUAGCCUCGGCCACCAGUGUAUGAAUGUGUGUGUGUGAAUGUGUCUAGUAGUGUAAAGUGGUCGGAAGCCUAAAAAGGCGCUAUACAAGUGCAGGUCCAUUUACGAUUCAUACACAUGGAUAGAUGGAUGCAGGUUGUCUAUCCCCAAACAUUGUAGAGUUUAAUGCAUGUUUUUAUGUUCCUCUGCAGGAUCAACUGUUAUGAUGUGUUUGGGGCUCAGGCUCCGUUUGGAGGUUACAAGGCUUCUGGUAAUGGCAGAGAGCUUGGAGAGUAUGGCCUGGACAACUACACGGAAGUCAAGACGGUGACCAUGAAGGUGCCACAGAAGAACUCUUAGACAUGUGCAGUGAGCCCAGUGAGCAGCUAAUUCAUGUCUCCUCCUAGCUGCUCUCUGGUUGACAGCAGACUGACACACUGCUCCUGUGCACCGCUACAAAAGUAAUUCUACUGCUGUCUGUCAAUCAUGCACAGAACAAACCCAUUGUAGGAAGAAAUCCCAUUCAUAUGAGCUCUUUCUGCUGUAAAAAUCAACCCACUGUCCACCAAUAAUGACACUCUUUUCCACCUGAUUCAAUGUAAUCAUAAACAUAUCCAAACAUUAUCCGUGUUUGUAACCUGUGGGCUUUGACAUUUAUAGAUUUUAAUAAUAAAUGCAUUUGAGGGA